This 73-nucleotide transfer RNA is filed under the name Diaphorina citri (Asian citrus psyllid). It matches the Rfam family "tRNA". From Rfam's summary of the family: Transfer RNA (tRNA) molecules are approximately 80 nucleotides in length. The record is from Rfam by way of RNAcentral. Lineage: Eukaryota; Metazoa; Arthropoda; Insecta; Hemiptera; Psyllidae.
GCCUAGUUAGCUUGGUGGGUAGCGCGACUGCAUUGUAAGCGCUAGGUCGCGGGUUCGAUUCCCGCCCGGGGCG